GAUGAACGCUGGCGGCGUGCCUAACACAUGCAAGUCGAGCGGAAGGACGAGGAGCUUGCUUCUCUCUUGUUAGCGGAGCACGUGUGAGUAACGCGUGUAUACUGUACCUAUCAGACUGGGAUCACCUCGGGAAUCCGGAGCUUACACCGGAUGAUAUUUUGAUCCGUGUGGGUCGAAAGAGAAAGUCGGUGUUGCUGGCAGUUAUCGCUGGAUCCGCGCUGCAUUAGCUAGUUGGUGAGGUAACGGCUUUCCAAGGCAACUAUGCAUAGGCGACCUGAGAGGGGGAUCGGCCACAUUGGAACGGGGACGCGGUCCAGACUCCUACGGGAGGCAGCAGUAGGGAAUCUGAGGCAAUGGGGGAGAACCUUGCGGAGCAACGCGGCGUGAGUUAUGAAGGUCUUCGGAGCGUAAUGCUCUGUUAUGAGUGAAGAACAUAUGUGUAAGGAACUGUACACAGCGUGACGGUACCUGAUCAGAAAGCCACGGCUAACUACGUG
RNAcentral lists this ribosomal RNA (497 nucleotides) under uncultured bacterium. RNAcentral describes it as "partial 16S ribosomal RNA". It matches the Rfam family "Bacterial small subunit ribosomal RNA", at positions 28 to 507 of the family's 1533-position model. The record is from RNAcentral.